This 433-nucleotide ribosomal RNA is filed under the name uncultured Anaerolineaceae bacterium. Its description in RNAcentral is "bacterial SSU rRNA". It matches the Rfam family "Bacterial small subunit ribosomal RNA", at positions 939 to 1382 of the family's 1533-position model. Lineage: Bacteria; Bacillati; Chloroflexota; Anaerolineae; Anaerolineales; Anaerolineaceae. The record is from RNAcentral.
AUGUUGGUUUAAUUCGAUGCAACGCGAAGAACCUUACUAGGCUUGACAUCCCUGGAAUUUUGUGGAAACACAAAAGUGCCUUUCGGGGAACCAGGAGACAGGUGCUGCAUGGCUGUCGUCAGCUCGUGUCGUGAGAUGUUCGGUUAAGUCCGCUAACGAGCGCAACCCUCGUCGUAUGUUAUAUGUGUCAUACGAGACUGCCGGUAAAAAGCCGGAGGAAGGUGAGGAUGAUGUCAAGUCAGCAUGACCUUUAUAUCCUGGGCUACACACACGCUACAAUGGGAAGGGACAAUAGGUUGCGAAGCCGCGAGGCGGAGCCAAUCCAGCAAAACUUCCCUCAGUUCAGAUUGCAGGCUGCAACUCGCCUGCAUGAAGUUGGAGUUGCUAGUAAACGCAGGUCAGCCAUACUGCGUUGAAUACGUUCCCGGGGCUU